Marmota flaviventris (yellow-bellied marmot) is the source of this 311-nucleotide non-coding RNA. The record is from RefSeq and is a predicted model, not a curated record. Lineage: Eukaryota; Metazoa; Chordata; Mammalia; Rodentia; Sciuridae.
AUAAAGUCCACUCUCUGCUCCAUCCCACCAUGCCUGGUUUGGGUGGUCUGUUCCACCCUCACAUUAAUAAGGGCAUCUUUCUUCUCAGAGAGUAGGAUCGCAUCCAUAGCAUCCAUACCUUCAAGAGGUAUAACCAUGAGACUUCAAUCUGGUGCAUAAAACAUAAACAUAUGGGACCUCUGGAGAGUCUCCUUAAAAGGAAGAGAUCACAUUCUUCUCAAAACUCCCUGAUUUUAGCAAAGCAUAUAGGAUACCUGUCAUUCCAACAAUCACAUUGGACAUGGAAUGACAGAUCAACGUGUUGGAAGAAG